RNAcentral lists this ribosomal RNA (232 nucleotides) under uncultured bacterium. Its description in RNAcentral is "partial 16S ribosomal RNA". It matches the Rfam family "Bacterial small subunit ribosomal RNA", at positions 99 to 334 of the family's 1533-position model. The record is from RNAcentral.
CGGACGGGUGGGUAAUGUCUGGGAAACUGCCUGAUGGAGGGGGGUAACUACUGGAAACGGUAGCUAAUACCGCAUAACGUCGCAAGACCAAAGAGGGGGACCUUCGGGCCUCUUGCCAUCGGAUGUGCCCAGAUGGGAUUAGCUAGUAGGUGGGGUAACGGCUCACCUAGGCGACGAUCCCUAGCUGGUCUGAGAGGAUGACCAGCCACACUGGAACUGAGACACGGUCCAG